GUUGGUUGGUUGAUUAAGACGAUUGUGUAAAGAAAUUGAUGAGGGGAUUUCGUAGAAGUACGAGGAUUUUUAUCCUCUGUUUGCUUGGUGUUUCUGUGUUCGUUCCCAUUCUUUUACUGUCUCAUAGGCUGAAACUUAUUAGCUCGGAUUGUAAGUUUUAAUUCUGAUGUUUGUGAUUUGAUUUUUAGUUUAAUAAUUGCUUUAAAUCUGAUUGGGUUAUUUCUUUGAUGCAACCUCGAAGGAAUUUGUUGAAGAUUUAUCGAUUAUUGUAUUAAUCUCAUUCUUCAGUACUAUUUACAUUACUCAGUUAAUUACUUUACAUUGAAUGUUCUCUUUUCUCUAUGGUAGAUUUCUUCUAUAUUUUUC
RNAcentral lists this long non-coding RNA (366 nucleotides) under Olea europaea (common olive). RNAcentral's name for it is "long non-coding RNA (OEUR_LNC009470)". The record is from RNAcentral. Lineage: Eukaryota; Viridiplantae; Streptophyta; Magnoliopsida; Lamiales; Oleaceae.